Non-coding RNA from Aedes albopictus (Asian tiger mosquito), 57 nucleotides. Lineage: Eukaryota; Metazoa; Arthropoda; Insecta; Diptera; Culicidae. The record is from Rfam.
AGCCUUGUGGAUAAGGCUUCGGAUCGCCAAUCCGGAGACGGCGGGUUCGAUUCCCGU